This 482-nucleotide ribosomal RNA is filed under the name uncultured eukaryote. Its description in RNAcentral is "bacterial SSU rRNA". It matches the Rfam family "Eukaryotic small subunit ribosomal RNA", at positions 12 to 512 of the family's 1831-position model. The record is from RNAcentral.
UCCUGCCAGUCAUAUAUGCUUGUCUUAAAGAUUAAGCCAUGCAUGUCUAAGUAUAAGCACUUGUACGGUGAAACUGCGAAUGGCUCAUUAUAUCAGUUAUAGUUUACUCAACACUCACUUCUACAUGGAUAACCGUGGGAAACCAGAGCUAAUACAUGCGUCGAUGGGCAGCAAUGCCCAGUAUUUAUUAGGUACAAACCAACACUCGUUGCGUUGAUUCACAGUAACUGCACGGAUCGCACGGCCCAGUGCCGGCGACAGGUUGACCAAAAUUUCUGCCCUAUCAACUAUGGAUGGUAGGAUCGAGGCCUACCAUGGUGAUCACGGGUAACGGAGAAUAAGGGUUCGAUUCCGGAGAGGGAGCCUGAGAAAACGGCUACCACAUCCAAGGAUGGCAGCAGGCGCGCAAAAUUACCCAAUCCUGACACAGGGAGGUAGUGACAAGAAAUAACAAUGCGCGGCACUCUGUGCUGUGCAAUUGG